GACAGAGGUGCCAAGCGUUAGGCGGAAUCACUGGGCUUAAAGCGUGUGUAGGUGGAUUGGUAAGUACCUUGUGAAAUCCCACAGCUCAACUGUGGAACUGCUCGGUAUACUGCUGAUCUUGAGCUACUUAGGGGCGAGCGGAACAAAUGGUGGAGCGGUGAAAUGCGUAGAUAUCAUUUGGAACGCCAAUGGUGAAAACAGCUCGCUGGGAGUAUGCUGACACUGAGACACGAAAGCUAGGGGAGCGAACGGG
This 253-nucleotide ribosomal RNA is filed under the name uncultured bacterium. RNAcentral describes it as "partial 16S ribosomal RNA". It matches the Rfam family "Bacterial small subunit ribosomal RNA", at positions 524 to 776 of the family's 1533-position model. The record is from RNAcentral.